This 465-nucleotide ribosomal RNA is filed under the name uncultured bacterium. RNAcentral describes it as "partial 16S ribosomal RNA". It matches the Rfam family "Bacterial small subunit ribosomal RNA", at positions 28 to 507 of the family's 1533-position model. The record is from RNAcentral.
GAUGAACGCUGGCGGCGUGCUUAGCACAUGCAAGUCGAACGGAAAGGCUCCUGCUUGCAGGGGUACUCGAGUGGCGAACGGGUGAGUAACACGUGGGUGAUCUGCCCUGCACUUCGGGAUAAGCCUGGGAAACUGGGUCUAAUACCGGAUAGGACGAUGGUUUGGAUGCCAUUGUGGAAAGUUUUUCGGUGUGGGAUGAGCUCGCGGCCUAUCAGCUUGUUGGUGGGGUAAUGGCCUACCAAGGCGUCGACGGGUAGCCGGCCUGAGAGGGUGUACGGCCACAAUGGGACUGAGAGACGGCCCAGACUGCUACGGGAGGCAGCAGUGGGGAAUAUUGCACAAUGGGCGCAAGCGUGAUGCAGCGACGCCGCGUGCGGGAUGACGGCCUUCGGGGUGUAAACACCUUUCGCUAGGAACGAAGCGCUAGUGACGGUACCUGAAGAAGAAGCACCGGCUAACUACGUG